UACGGAGGGUGCAAGCGUUGUCCGGAAUUAUUGGGCGUAAAGGGCUCGUAGGCGGUCCGUCACGUCGGGAGUGAAAACUCGGAGCUCAACUCCGAGCCUGCUUCCGAUACGGGCAGACUAGAGGUAGGCAGGGGAGAGCGGAACUCCUGGUGUAGCGGUGGAAUGCGCAGAUAUCAGGAAGAACACCCGUGGCGAAGGCGGCUCUCUGGGACGGUACUGACGCUGAGACGCGAAAGCGUGGGGAGCGAACAGG
RNAcentral lists this ribosomal RNA (253 nucleotides) under uncultured bacterium. RNAcentral describes it as "partial 16S ribosomal RNA". It matches the Rfam family "Bacterial small subunit ribosomal RNA", at positions 524 to 776 of the family's 1533-position model. The record is from RNAcentral.